Molecule: ribosomal RNA, 595 nt
Filed under: uncultured Actinomycetes bacterium
Lineage: Bacteria; Bacillati; Actinomycetota; Actinomycetes
Description: bacterial SSU rRNA
Rfam family: Bacterial small subunit ribosomal RNA
Source: RNAcentral
UAACGGCCUACCAAGGCGAUGACGGGUAGCCGGCCUGAGAGGGCGACCGGCCACACUGGGACUGAGACACGGCCCAGACUCCUGCGGGAGGCAGCAGUGGGGAAUAUUGCGCAAUGGGCGGAAGCCUGACGCAGCGACGCCGCGUGGGGGAUGAAGGCCUUCGGGUUGUAAACCUCUUUUACCACUCACGAAGGCCCCUGGUUUUCUGGGGGUUGACGGUAGGUGGUGAAUAAGGACCGGCUAACUACGUGCCAGCAGCCGCGGUAAUACGUAGGGUCCGAGCGUUGUCCGGAAUUAUUGGGCGUAAAGAGCUCGUAGGCGGCCUGUCGCGUCUGCUGUGAAAGUCCGGGGCUUAACUCCGGGUGUGCAGUGGAUACGGGCAGGCUUGAGGUAGGCAGGGGAGACUGGAAUUCCUGGUGUAGCGGUGAAAUGCGCAGAUAUCAGGAGGAACACCGGUGGCGAAGGCGGGUCUUUGGGCCUUACCUGACGCUGAGGAGCGAAAGCGUGGGGAGCGAACAGGAUUAGAUACCCUGGUAGUCCACGCCGUAAACGUUGGGCGCUAGGUGUGGGGACUUUCCACGGUUUCCGUGCCGUA